GCGAAAGUGGCGGAAUUGGUAGACGCGCGGGAUUUAGGAUCCCGUGGCUAAAAGCCGUGGGGGUUCGAGUCCCCCCUUUCGCA
RNAcentral lists this transfer RNA (83 nucleotides) under Gemmatimonadota bacterium. Its description in RNAcentral is "Gemmatimonadetes bacterium (hydrothermal vent metagenome) tRNA-Leu". It matches the Rfam family "tRNA". Rfam says of the family: Transfer RNA (tRNA) molecules are approximately 80 nucleotides in length. Their secondary structure includes four short double-helical elements and three loops (D, anti-codon, and T loops). Further hydrogen bonds mediate the characteristic L-shaped molecular structure. tRNAs have two regions of fundamental functional importance: the anti-codon, which is responsible for specific mRNA codon recognition, and the 3' end, to which the tRNAs corresponding amino acid is attached (by aminoacyl-tRNA synthetases). tRNAs cope with the degeneracy of the genetic code in two manners: having more than one tRNA (with a specific anti-codon) for a particular amino acid; and 'wobble' base-pairing, i.e. permitting non-standard base-pairing at the 3rd anti-codon position. The record is from RNAcentral. Lineage: Bacteria; Pseudomonadati; Gemmatimonadota.